RNAcentral lists this long non-coding RNA (801 nucleotides) under Ictidomys tridecemlineatus (thirteen-lined ground squirrel). RNAcentral describes it as "lncRNA (ENSSTOG00000029536.1)". The record is from RNAcentral. Lineage: Eukaryota; Metazoa; Chordata; Mammalia; Rodentia; Sciuridae.
AUGGGGGACAGGCUGGAUUGGAAGUGUUCUGAUAGGGUCUCGCAAGGCACAUCAGGAGGACAAGAGCCACGGUCUUCCAGCACCAACCUAUCCCAGCCUGAAAAUGAAGACUGCGGCAGAAACCAAUGUCCCAGGAAAGAGACGCACCUGGAAUCCGGAGUGAGUCCUCAGAGACACGCACCUGAGCCGUGUACUGAUUCGAAUGAAGAGGUACUUUCAUAACUGUUUUGUGAUCUUUUCCUCCAUGCCCAGGAAGAGGUGGGUCAAGCAGGAAGGAUAUGUCCACAGCCCAAAGUGAAGCUGCUGUUUGGCCCACACCACUCCUCCAGCAAUCUUGAAGAAACUUUGCAUCUAUGGAGAUUCUUGUGAAGGCACGUCAGAGACGGCCAACCAAGCACAUUAUCACUAUUGUUUUCUCACUAUACCAUAAAUUUCUUUGCAGGUAGUGACUCUAGCCUAUUAAUUUUUGAACAGCAUCUGAUUCAAAGUAAAUCAAACUUCAAACACAACAGUGAGUGAAUGAAUGAAGGACAGUUACAAACCAGCAUGAGUCAUCUAUAAUCAAAAUGAUUUAAAUGCCAAUUGAGCAUUUAAAUUGAUAUUUAAGACCUUGUGUGACUGCCAAUGGUCCACUGUCUGCUGUCUGGGCUCAAAAGCAGUACUGGUUUCUUUGUGUUUGUUUUGAUUUUUUUUAAGAAAAAAGAUUGGGUUUAAAAAUCCUGUUUUUAAUUAAAUGAGGGGGGAAUAAAUAAUAGGAAAGAGAAUCAUCACAAGACAAAACUAAAGAGAACUUUGUUUUAU